Arachis ipaensis is the source of this 176-nucleotide non-coding RNA. Lineage: Eukaryota; Viridiplantae; Streptophyta; Magnoliopsida; Fabales; Fabaceae. The record is from RefSeq and is a predicted model, not a curated record.
UUCUUGAAACAUGGUAUGUAAUAUGUUUUUGGUUUCUGUUUUGACCAAACAAGGUUUUAUGAGCUGCAGGUUACAAGUCAAGAAGCUAUUGAAACAGCUAAGUUGCUCGCCUUGAAAGAAGGUUUGCUGAUGGGAAUUUCAUCAGGAGCCGCAGCAGCAGCUGCAAUAAAAUUGGC